ACGGUAAUGUCACGUUUAAACACCAGUUCUCAUACGAUCACCGAAGUUAAGCAACGUCGAUCAUGGUCAAUACCAAGAUGAGUGACUGCUUGGGAAUAGCAGGUGUUGUAAG
This is a non-coding RNA of Acanthosepion pharaonis, 112 nucleotides long. NCBI's taxonomy places the organism in Eukaryota, Metazoa, Mollusca, Cephalopoda, Sepiida, Sepiidae. The record is from the annotation of a GenBank genome assembly.